RNAcentral lists this long non-coding RNA (1263 nucleotides) under Equus caballus (horse). Its description in RNAcentral is "lncRNA (ENSECAG00000046347.1)". Lineage: Eukaryota; Metazoa; Chordata; Mammalia; Perissodactyla; Equidae. The record is from RNAcentral.
CACUUCACUGGGUUCAGGUCUCCAUUCUUUUCUGCUGGCCAUGUGUUUCACUAAAUUCUGGCCCCAUUCACCUCUUAGAAGUUAAGUCCUAAUUAGCCUAAGCAAAUCAUGAUAAUUAUAUUCUUAUUCUCAGUGACUGGAUUAAGAAAAGGCAUGUGACUCAGUUCUAUGAAAUAGGAGAGAGAAGUCUGCUGAAGGUGCUCCCCUCUUAGAAGAGACACAAGGAAACAACAAUCCUUUCUUUUCCUCUGGGUCUUGGUGUGUGAGGAUGCCACGACUGGAGGGAGCCAGGCGAUAUACGGACAACGGCAGCAAAGAGUGACGGCAGCCCCCAGCACUUUUCUAGCCUCUGGGAUAAAGCAACGAACAAAAGAAUGCAGAAAUCCCUGUUAUCACCGAGCUUCAUUCUAGCAUUGGCGGACGGGGGAAAUGCAAAAGGAUAAGAACUGGAAAAUGCUCCGCUUCAACCGUAUUGAAGAGGUCCACAUUCUGUCCUUCUCUACUGCUCAGGGCACCCGAGGAUGGCUUGUCUGGACUGCAUCAACAGGUUCACCUGCCCUCUGGCUUCUGGUUGGGCUUGGCCCAGAAAUACUCCUGCUGCGAGUUACUCUGUUAUAUGCUUGCGAAAGUACACCAAGAUCAUUUACAAGGACGGUCCCUGCAGUAUUGUUUGUAAUGGCAAAAUUAUGGAAACUGCUCAUAUAUUCCUCAGUUGGAAGACUAGUUAAAUAAAAUAUAGUGUAGCAUACCUUGGGACACUUUGUAAAAAUGAAAAAGGGAUGGCUCUGGAGGUGCUGACUUGGAAAGUUCUCCCAGAUAUAUUUUAAAUGAAAAAAGCUAUGGUAUGAUCCAAUUUAUAAGACAGCUGGAUUCUCAUAUCUGCAUUCAGUCUACUGCAAUAUGAUGUUUUGGGUGGAAUUAUCGGAAGAAAAUCUGGCCUCACACGGACACGUAGUUGGAAGAGGGAGGGUCCCACAGACCCUCUGAAAUGGUCCCCAGGAUCCCAGGGCUCCUCUGACCACACACUGAGGACCGCUGUGCCGGAGCAGGGCACAUCUUAACAAAGGUGGGACAGUGCUGGGGAAUUAAAAUGUUUACUCUGAGAACUUGGCAUUAACGUGAAACAACUGUUCACAAUUCAGUCAUUUUCAUGAGACUACAACUGGAGGUUGGAAAAUUCUGUACCUGUCGAUUCUUCCCCAUAUCCAACACGGCAGAAAAGUAUAACUUAAAUACCUUAAAUAGUAAAAUGAAAUAAAGGGC